Molecule: ribosomal RNA, 253 nt
Filed under: uncultured bacterium
Lineage: Bacteria
Description: partial 16S ribosomal RNA
Rfam family: Bacterial small subunit ribosomal RNA
Source: RNAcentral
UACAGGGGGGGCAAGCGUUGUUCGGAAUUACUGGGCGUAAAGGGUGCGUAGGCGGCGGGGCAAGUCUGAUGUGAAAUCCCGGGGCUCAACCCCGGAACUGCAUUGGAUACUGCCUUGCUUGAGUACUGGAGAGGGAACUGGAAUUUACGGUGUAGCAGUGAAAUGCGUAGAGAUCGUAAGGAAGGCCAGUGGCGAAGGCGAGUUCCUGGACAGUUACUGACGCUGAGGCACGAAGGCCAGGGGAGCAAACGGG